Molecule: unclassified non-coding RNA, 306 nt
Filed under: Hevea brasiliensis (rubber tree)
Lineage: Eukaryota; Viridiplantae; Streptophyta; Magnoliopsida; Malpighiales; Euphorbiaceae
Source: RNAcentral
GUUUAAUGACAAAUCAUGGGGAGGAUUUCUGGUCUUUAUUGAAUUUUAACUUCAGGUACAGGUAUGUCAUAAUGUUUAAGUGACCAGCUCAACUGCUGUAGCAUCAACAGCUUUAAGGUACCGAUUGUGUGUCUCCAUGUUGCCAGAGGGUUAGUGGACGGAUGGCUUAUGCAAAGACCGCCACUCGUCUCAAGGGUUCAUUUAUCCAUCAACUGGUAGUAAUUGCUAUCUGUUUGACUAGCUAUCAGAAUGUAGUGGCUCUACAUGUGCCACAUAAGACAACUCAAACUUCUUCCACGUCUGAAC